UCUCUGUUAGUAUAUCGGUUAGUACACGCGCCUGUCAUUUAUAGUGUGCGGUCGCGCGAAAGCGGGGUUCGACUCCCCGACAGAGAG
Cerioporus squamosus is the source of this 87-nucleotide non-coding RNA. Lineage: Eukaryota; Fungi; Basidiomycota; Agaricomycetes; Polyporales; Polyporaceae. The record is from the annotation of a GenBank genome assembly.